ACUCCUACGGGAGGCAGCAGUGGGGAAUAUUGCACAAUGGGCGCAAGCCUGAUGCAGCCAUGCCGCGUGUAUGAAGAAGGCCUUCGGGUUGUAAAGUACUUUCAGCAGUGAGGAAGGUGGGUAUGUUAAUAGCAUACUCAUUUGACGUUAGCUGCAGAAGAAGCACCGGCUAACUCCGUGCCAGCAGCCGCGGUAAUACGGAGGGUGCGAGCGUUAAUCGGAAUUACUGGGCGUAAAGCGCAUGCAGGUGGUUUGUUAAGUCAGAUGUGAAAGCCCGGGGCUCAACCUCGGAAUUGCAUUUGAAACUGGCAAACUAGAGUACUGUAGAGGGGGGUAGAAUUUCAGGUGUAGCGGUGAAAUGCGUAGAGAUCUGAAGGAAUACCGGUGGCGAAGGCGGCCCCCUGGACAGAUACUGACACUCAGAUGCGAAAGCGUGGGGAGCAAACAGGAUUAGCUACCCUGUAGGCUCUGC
RNAcentral lists this ribosomal RNA (472 nucleotides) under uncultured bacterium. RNAcentral's name for it is "bacterial SSU rRNA". It matches the Rfam family "Bacterial small subunit ribosomal RNA", at positions 335 to 800 of the family's 1533-position model. The record is from RNAcentral.